Molecule: ribosomal RNA, 433 nt
Filed under: uncultured bacterium
Lineage: Bacteria
Description: partial 16S ribosomal RNA
Rfam family: Bacterial small subunit ribosomal RNA
Source: RNAcentral
AACGAACGCUGGCGGCAUGCCUAACACAUGCAAGUCGAACGAGACCUUCGGGUCUAGUUGCGCACGGGUGCGUAACGCGUGGGAACCUGCCCUUAGGUUCGGAAUAACUCCCCUAAAGGGGUGCUAAUACCGGAGAAUGUAUUCGGACCAAAGAUUUAUCGCCUUUGGAUGGGCCCGGGUUGGAUUAGCUGGUUGGUAGGGUAAAAGCCUACCAAGGCGACGAUCCUGAGCUGGUCUGGGAGGAUGCUCAGCCACACUGGGACUGAGACACGGACCAGUCUGCUACGGGACGCAGGAGUAGAGAAUAUUAUACACUGGGCGCUAAUGUAGUCCCGCCGCGCGGCGUGUGAGGUCAAUCGCUUUGUAUUGUGAAGUUCUCUUACACGAAAUGAUAAUGACAGUAACGGGUAAAUAAGCUCCGGCUAACUACGUG